RNAcentral lists this ribosomal RNA (305 nucleotides) under uncultured bacterium. Its description in RNAcentral is "bacterial SSU rRNA". It matches the Rfam family "Bacterial small subunit ribosomal RNA", at positions 335 to 655 of the family's 1533-position model. The record is from RNAcentral.
AUCCUACGGGGCGCAGCAGUGAGGGAUAUUGGUCAAUGGGGGAAACCCUGAACCAGCAACGCCGCGUGCAGGAAGAAGGUCUUCGGAUUGUAAACUGUUGUCGCAGGGGAAGAAGACAGUGACGGUACCCUGUGAGAAAGUCACGGCUAACUACGUGCCAGCAGCCGCGGUAAUACGUAGGUGACGAGCGUUGUCCGGAUUUACUGGGUGUAAAGGGCGCGUAGGCGGAUGUGCAAGUCAGUCGUGAAAUACCGGGGCUCAACCCCGGGGCUGCGAUUGAAACUGCACACCUUGAGUAUCGGAGG